This 593-nucleotide long non-coding RNA is filed under the name Olea europaea subsp. europaea. Lineage: Eukaryota; Viridiplantae; Streptophyta; Magnoliopsida; Lamiales; Oleaceae. The record is from RNAcentral.
CUUUUCAAAAAAUAAAAAAAAUAAAAAAAACAUAUUAUAUAUAUAUAUCAUCAAAUCAAAUCUAUAAUUUUGCCUCCUCCUUUUUGUAAAAGACAAACCAAGAAACUGUUGAAAAGAUAUACUGUAUCUAAUAUCGACGUUAAGUCCAUGAAACCCAUGAUUUGAUCUUAUUUUUCUCUUUGUAUUUCAAAUUUUCUGUAGUGGAGUUUGCUUUUACUCCUUAUAUUUUAUCCAAUAUCGUGAAAUAACUGCAGAGUAGAUUUUUCAUUUUUUGUCAAUUCACGAAUUUCUUUUCCCAUUUGGUUUAUCCUUCCACUUUUCUGUUUGUGUUCGUGUUUUUAUCUUGGGUUUUUAGAGCCAAAAUUUUGGGUUUUCGGAUUGGAAAAGUUGAAUUUGUGAAGAGGGAAGAAGGUGGCUGGUGCUUCUUGUUUCCAGAAGAAGAGAUCUUUUCUGCAGAGAAUCAGGUGAUAAUUCUUUCAGUUUACAAAUAUUUUUUAUUUUAUAUGGUAUGGUGUUUCUUGAUUGACUUUUAGAACUGAGCUAAUCUCCAUUUAUUGAGAAUUUUUAUAUGAUGGACAUGAAUUUGAUCAGUG